This 1917-nucleotide unclassified non-coding RNA is filed under the name Hevea brasiliensis (rubber tree). Lineage: Eukaryota; Viridiplantae; Streptophyta; Magnoliopsida; Malpighiales; Euphorbiaceae. The record is from RNAcentral.
AGAAUGAGCUCGAGUUUACAAUAGCCGAACCCAAAUGUUAAAAAACUCUCACAACCCUGUAAAUCUUAGAAUGAUUCCAACAAUACAUUAUAACCCAGACACAUAGAUGAGCAUGAAAAAGUCUGAUCCUUCUCACAAGAGAUUCAAACAUGAGCUUUCUGCUUCACUAAAUCAACAAACUACAGGCAGCAAAUAGGUGGAGCCUCUCAGCAGAAGUUGAACUCUUUCUCCAAAAGUCAAAGAUAAACCAUCAACAAUAAACUAAGAAAAAAAAGAAAAAAGACCUUGUGACUUCAUUUUUCAUGAUCAAUUUCAAAGGUAUAAAUACAAUCAUGCUAACUAGCCAUGAAUUCUAUGACGACUACAAGAUUAUUAUAUUUAUAGCCACUUAUCAAGUCUAGCCUAACAAAAGCUUCUCAAACUACCUUGCAGCAACCUUAUUAUGACAGAGCUACCUCAAAGAGUAAAUAAGCGUCUGUUAUGUUCAACUGGUGUCCCAAUGAUAAGCUCAAAAAGCACUGUUUAGUAACUUGGGCAGCUUGCAUUACAAGCACCAACUUUUUAUAGCACAGCCAAAUAUAUGCACAAAGGCACACACAACAAACUCCACCACAGCAACACAUAUAUGCCUCACAUUGUAAGACGGGAACUAAACAGAGACAUUAAAAUAAUAACCCUGUUAAUCAUAGCCACUCAUUCUCUAACCCACAGUAGGCACAACCUUAGCUUUCUUCUGCUCUGCUUUCCUUCUCAUUCCUUCUAUCAUCUGUUCAGUAGCUUCAAUUAUCUGAUUCGGCAAAUGCACCUCCAUAUAAUCCAACCACUGCCCCAGUGCCAUCUUCUCCAAAUCGACUAUUUCCUGCCCUUUUCCCAAAUUCUCACUUGCAUUAAUUUGUGCCUUGCUACCACUUUCUUUAAGACCACCCAAAUUCUCAGCAUCUUCACAAUUCGUUUCUGCAUCCAGUCGCUCUUUUAUCUCACAUUCUUCCACAAUCUCACAUUUUAUUUCCUUAUUUUCCCCAAAACCAGCUUCAUUAGCCUGAUCGUGCGCGUCUUCUGUUAAAUUCAAUCCGAAAUCUAUGUUCUCCUUGUUUCCAAGAAAACUAACUUGAGAGUUCUCCGAUCGCAAAUCCUGCAGCUUCUUUCUCCUUCGCUUUCCCACUGGAGCCAUUUUACUACAUUCCCCACCCAAAUUCUCCAAAAUCACGCAAUCCUCAUUGUUUCUGCCUCCAGUUACCCUAAGAUUCAGUCCUUGCAUAUCCAGUUUCUCGGCGACGCCCAAAUUUCCCGAUUCUUUAUCAGUCCUCUUGACCUUAACCAAAACCCUAGCUUUCCUCGUUCUUCCUCUUCUCUGAAUUGGCUCACUUUCCUCCAAAUUCUCAACAUUUUCUCUCUCCAAUUCACUCUUCUCUUCAGUUUUUAUCACCUCUGCUCUCCGGCCCCGGUUCUUUGCUGCCGGUCCUGUUUUAUCCGAUUCACUGACAUUUCUCCUUGGGUUGCGUCUUAACAGAGACGGCUCGUCUCCACCGUGGAACUGAACGAGGAUGGAGGUGUACUCGCCGAGCUUGAGGGUGUCACCAUAGCGAAGAUUGAAGGGUUGGAAGGGGGGGAGCUUGGAGGAGUUGAGGGUGGUGCCGUUGGAGGAAUUAAGGUCUUGGACGAUCCAUUUACCCGAUUCGGAUCCGAUAAGCAAGUUGUUUUGACGAGAUGCCAGCAUCCUUGAUAGGAAGGUUGUUGCCGCGGACCACCCGGCCUAUCCGGACGUGGAUCCGGGUCGGAAUCCCAAGGUCUCGCCCUCUCAGGGCCCUUUACGGUUCAUGAAUCGUCAGCUUAUGUUUAAUAAAAUCAUGAACCUGAAUCAAACCGCCAGGGGAAGGUUUGGAAGACAAUUCUUGAACCGCCGGUUCUGGUUUGAUC